AUGGGGCGACCACCGGAGUCGCCGCCGGUAUCUUCGUCGCGGUCCGCUGAUCUGCCGCCGUCAACGUCGAUCGCCUCCUCCUCCUCAUAUCUCGCGGCACAGCCCGAUCCCAUCCAGCCGGAUCAGAUCGAGGUUGCGUGUGAGGCGGAUGAGUGUGCGGAGGAGGGAAUGCGUUGGGCCGUGCAUUUCCGAGAUGGCCAUGGGGAAUGGAUCAGCGGGCGUCUGCAUCAUUCUCCGGCAUCUCGCUGGACGACGUUGCUGGAUAUGGACAACGACGUCCGCGCCGGCGAACAUGUUGCGACUGGCGACCAGGUGACGGUAGGAUCUAAAUUGCGUAUUGAUAUUUAG
This 348-nucleotide ribosomal RNA is filed under the name Triticum aestivum (bread wheat). RNAcentral describes it as "partial small subunit ribosomal RNA". The record is from RNAcentral. Lineage: Eukaryota; Viridiplantae; Streptophyta; Magnoliopsida; Poales; Poaceae.